This 403-nucleotide ribosomal RNA is filed under the name Verrucomicrobiota bacterium. Its description in RNAcentral is "Verrucomicrobia bacterium partial 16S ribosomal RNA". It matches the Rfam family "Bacterial small subunit ribosomal RNA", at positions 355 to 776 of the family's 1533-position model. The record is from RNAcentral. Lineage: Bacteria; Pseudomonadati; Verrucomicrobiota.
UGGGGAAUAUUGCACAAUGGGGGAAACCCUGAUGCAGCGACGCCGCGUGAGCGAAGAAGGCUUUCGAGUCGUAAAGCUCUGUCCUAUGAGAAGAUAAUGACGGUAUCAUAGGAGGAAGCCCUGGCUAAAUACGUGCCAGCAGCCGCGGUAAUACGUAUGGGGCGAGCGUUGUCCGGAAUUAUUGGGCGUAAAGGGUACGUAGGCGGUUUUUUAAGUCAGGUGUCAAAGCGUGGAGCUUAACUCCAUUAAGCACUUGAAACUGAAAGACUUGAGUGAAGGAGAGGAAAGUGGAAUUCCUAGUGUAGCGGUGAAAUGCGUGGAUAUUAGGGGGAAUACCGGUGGCGAAGGCGACUUUCUGGACUUUUACUGACGCUCAGGUACGAAAGCGUGGGGAGCAAACAGG